ACGGGUGAGAAAUGCCUAGGAAAUUGCCCUGAUGUGGGGGAUAACCAUUGGAAACGAUGGCUAAUACCGCAUGAUGCCUACGGGCCAAAGAGGGGGACCUUCGGGCCUCUCGCGUCAGGAUAUGCCUAGGUGGGAUUAGCUAGUUGGUGAGGUAAGGGCUCACCAAGGCGACGAUCCCUAGCUGGUCUGAGAGGAUGAUCAGCCACACUGGAACUGAGAGCCGGUCCAGACUCCUACGGGAGGCAGCAGUGGGGAAUAUUGCACAAUGGGCGCAAGCCUGAUGCAGCCAUCCCGCGUGUGUGAAGAAGGCCUUCGGGUUGCAAAGCACUUUCAGUCGUGACGAAGGUGGUAGUGUUAAUAUUCCUAUCAUUUGACGUUAGCGACAGAAGAAGCACCGGCUAACUCCGUGCCAGCAGCCGCGGUAAUACGGAGGGUGCGAGCGUUAAUCGGAAUUACUGGGCGUAAAGCGCAUGCAGGUGGUUUGUUAAGUCAGAUGUGUU
RNAcentral lists this ribosomal RNA (500 nucleotides) under Vibrio alginolyticus. Its description in RNAcentral is "bacterial SSU rRNA". It matches the Rfam family "Bacterial small subunit ribosomal RNA", at positions 102 to 598 of the family's 1533-position model. The record is from RNAcentral. Lineage: Bacteria; Pseudomonadati; Pseudomonadota; Gammaproteobacteria; Vibrionales; Vibrionaceae.